This is a long non-coding RNA of Dama dama (fallow deer), 1066 nucleotides long. RefSeq lists it as uncharacterized. NCBI's taxonomy places the organism in Eukaryota, Metazoa, Chordata, Mammalia, Artiodactyla, Cervidae. The transcript is spliced from 2 exons. The record is from RefSeq and is a predicted model, not a curated record.
CUGGUGGAUGCCUCCUGCGACGGUCUGGUCCCUGGUUGACAGCUGCGGUCGCCUCUUAAGAUGCUCCAGGGAUGCUCUGAGCUAAGGAUGCAGGUGCAGCCAGACUGGUCCUGACGCCAGGAGGACCAGGCAUCCUCCUGGUCCUUCAUCCUCCUGAUGAAGGAGGUAGGCCCCUCCUUCCUCCGAACGGCCUUAGGCAAAAGACUCCGCCUCUGUCCGAAAAGUUCCGGAAGGCAAGCUCCGCCCUUUUCCGGAGGAUCCCUGGGAGGGCAUCCCUUCCAUCGCCAAGAUUUCGAGAGAAUGAGACCCCACCUAUUUAGGGCUUGUGGGUCUAUAAGGUGAAAUCCUCAAGGCUUGAUGAAGGAGAAGUUUUCAGGUGCUGAGAACUGCUUAGGCGAAAGAAAGCGCACAGGAGAGAGAGCAAACCAACGGAUCUACAGGACAGAAACUAAACUGGAAGCUUCUAGAGACUUCCUUGGAAUUUGAAAGAAUUAGGAUGAUUCUCGGUUAGAGUCACUAUUGGUGGUUAUCUCCAUGAUUACAUCAAGUUCGCCAUUUUUGGCUGUGGAUACUUUCAUCCCGCUUCAAUUCUGUUUACAGACAGGAUCAGGUCAAGUAAAGUAUUCAAAUUUGUUGUAUUUGUUGGUGGUUCACCUGUAACAAGAGCGACAUGAAUGUAUUUUUCCAGCUUUGACAUUCUGUACUUCUAGAAAAGAGGAAAGAACAUGGUUUUAGGAGUUAUUCAUUCAAAACACAUGUAUUGAAUUUAUUGGCCUUUGUCUGUGUUCCAGGCACCUUCCUGGAAACCGGAUUAAUACAUUAGAACCUGGAGUCAGGAUAUCUGAUUCCAUCUGAUAGUUGUGCAUCUUCGUGAAAUCACCUACACAGCUGAGCCAAAAUUUUGUCUUGUUUAAACCAGGAGGUAUAAUAAUAGCCAUUGUCCCAUAGAAUUUAUUGUGAUGAUUGAAAAUAAUCACCUGUGAUAAGUGAAAGCAUUUUAUAAGCAGAGUAUUAUACAGAUAUUAAUAAUUACUGUGGGUUGAAUUAAAGACUUAUUGUUGUUCAA